AUUGAACGCUGGCGGCAUGCCUUACACAUGCAAGUCGAACGGUAACGGGCCUUCGGGUGCCGACGAGUGGCGAACGGGUGAGUAAUACAUCGGAACGUGCCCGAUCGUGGGGGAUAACGAGGCGAAAGCUUUGCUAAUACCGCAUACGAUCUACGGAUGAAAGCAGGGGACCGCAAGGCCUUGCGCGGGCGGAGCGGCCGAUGGCAGAGUAGGUAGUUGGUGGGAUAAAAGCUUACCAAGCCGACGAUCUGUAGCUGGUCUGAGAGGAUGAUCAGCCACACUGGGACUGAGACACGGCCCAGACUCCUACGGGAGGCAGCAGUGGGGAAUUUUGGACAAUGGGCGCAAGCCUGAUCCAGCCAUGCCGCGUGCAGGAUGAAGGCCUUCGGGUUGUAAACUGCUUUUGUACGGAACGAAAAGCCUUCUUUUAAUACAGGAGGGUCAUGACGGUACCGUAAGAAUAAGCACCGGCUAACUACGUG
RNAcentral lists this ribosomal RNA (482 nucleotides) under uncultured bacterium. RNAcentral describes it as "partial 16S ribosomal RNA". It matches the Rfam family "Bacterial small subunit ribosomal RNA", at positions 30 to 507 of the family's 1533-position model. The record is from RNAcentral.